GUGGGGAAUAUUGGACAAUGGGCGAAAGCCUGAUCCAGCAAUGCCGCGUGAGUGAUGAAGGCCCUAGGGUUGUAAAGCUCUUUUACCCGGGAUGAUAAUGACAGUACCGGGAGAAUAAGCUCCGGCUAACUUCGUGCCAGCAGCCGCGGUAAUACGAGGGGAGCUAGCGUUGUUCGGAAUUACUGGGCGUAAAGCGCGCGUAGGCGGUUUUUUAAGUCAGAGGUGAAAGCCCGGGGCUCAACCCCGGAAUAGCCUUUGAAACUGGAAAACUAGAAUCUUGGAGAGGUCAGUGGAAUUCCGAGUGUAGAGGUGAAAUUCGUAGAUAUUCGGAAGAACACCAGUGGCGAAGGCGACUGACUGGACAAGUAUUGACGCUGAGGUGCGAAAGCGUGGGGAGCAAACAGGAUUAGAUACCCUUGUAGUCC
This 425-nucleotide ribosomal RNA is filed under the name uncultured bacterium. Its description in RNAcentral is "partial 16S ribosomal RNA". It matches the Rfam family "Bacterial small subunit ribosomal RNA", at positions 354 to 796 of the family's 1533-position model. The record is from RNAcentral.